This 103-nucleotide small nuclear RNA is filed under the name Nelumbo nucifera (sacred lotus). The record is from RNAcentral. Lineage: Eukaryota; Viridiplantae; Streptophyta; Magnoliopsida; Proteales; Nelumbonaceae.
GUCUCUUUGGAGACAUCCGAUAAAAUUGGAAUGAUACAAAGAAGAUUAGCAUGGCCCCUGCGUAAGGAUGACACACAAAUCGAGAAACAAUUAGGCUCAAUUC